CAAGCGUGUCUCUGUCAAGCUCAAUUAGCCUCUCACAUGCUAUAGUCAAGUAAACAGAGUCAAACAACUAAAUUCACGUGCCAUCGGCACAAUCUGAUGCAAAAACAGCAAUCUGGGUCUACCGUCAAUCUCAACGGCACCCGACAAUCCGGAACAGCCUAAACACUGCAGUAAAAAUACACUCAGCAUCUCAGCAUGAUCGUAAAUAUAUUCUACACUAUUCUGGAUAUCCACCGCCCACAAACUGCGGCGAUACAAACAAACUACAGCUUUUAGAACUAAAUCUGGUAGUUUGAUAAAAUGACGGUAUAGAAACACCAGUUUUCUCUUAAGUCAAAUCCAAGUCCAACAUGUAUCAUUU
RNAcentral lists this long non-coding RNA (361 nucleotides) under Ananas comosus (pineapple). RNAcentral's name for it is "long non-coding RNA (ACOM_LNC023903)". Lineage: Eukaryota; Viridiplantae; Streptophyta; Magnoliopsida; Poales; Bromeliaceae. The record is from RNAcentral.